GACACCAUGACUUUCAUCACCAUCUUCAUCUGGACACUUUUGUGUUGUAUUAAAGAGUCCAGAGGACAGGUGACUGUGACUCAGACUCCUGAUAUGAAAUCUGCUCUUCCAGGAGACACAGUCACUGUUAACUGUAAAACCAGUUCUGCAGUGUAUUACUCCAGUUCCUAUGGUCACUUUCUGAACUGGUACCAACAGAAACCUGGACAGGCUCCUAAACUCCUCAUUAAAUAUGCCAACCAGUUAGAGUCAGGAAUUCCAAAUCAUUUCAGUGGCAGUGGAUCUGGGACUGACUUCACUCUGACCAUCAGAGGAGUCCAGACUGAAGAUGCAGGAGAUUAUUACUGUCAGAGUGCACAUUACAUCAGUUACAACUGGGUGUUCACACAGUGA
Molecule: non-coding RNA, 393 nt
Organism: Chanos chanos (milkfish)
Lineage: Eukaryota; Metazoa; Chordata; Actinopteri; Gonorynchiformes; Chanidae
Source: the annotation of a RefSeq genome assembly